CGGUAACACGUGAGCAACCUACCGAACUGUGGGGGAUAGCCGGCCUAACGGCCGAGUAAUACCGCAUACGCUUUCAGUGAGGCAUUUCAUUGAAAGGAAACCUACGGGACAGAUCGAGGGGCUCGCGGCCUAUCAGCUAGUUGGCGAGGUAACGGCUCACCAAGGCAACGACGGGUAGCUGGUCUGAGAGGAUGGCCAGCCACAUUGGGACUGAGAUACGGCCCAG
Molecule: ribosomal RNA, 226 nt
Filed under: uncultured bacterium
Lineage: Bacteria
Description: partial 16S ribosomal RNA
Rfam family: Bacterial small subunit ribosomal RNA
Source: RNAcentral